Molecule: long non-coding RNA, 323 nt
Filed under: Androctonus crassicauda
Lineage: Eukaryota; Metazoa; Arthropoda; Arachnida; Scorpiones; Buthidae
Source: RNAcentral
CUUCCACAACCUACUCCUACGUUGGUAUCAACUUUUCCAUCACCAACUUUGACGGAUAUGUCUGUCAACCAAAAUACCGAUACUGACAAUCGUCAAGAAUUCUCAAAUGAAAUAGAAAGAACUGUGGCUCAGAUUGGACGAAUCGAUGUGGGAAACCCACAUGAAUCAGAUCAAUCCCCGAACUCAGAUCCUUUCCAGAUAAGAAGAUAUCCUGUUCCUCUGGCAAGGGGCCGAUUAAUGGAACAACAUAUAAAAAACAUAUAACGUCAAACUCCGUUUGGAUCGGAAAAAGUUCAGCCCUCUUUCCCUCGUGGAGCUCUCCC